AUUGAACGUUGGCGGAAUGCUCUACACAUGCAAGUCGAACGGCAGCACGGGGGCAGCCCUGGUGGCGAGUGGCGAACGGGUGAGUAAUACAUCGGAACGUGCCCGGUCGUGGGGGAUAACGUAGCGAAAGUUACGCUAAUACCGCAUACGAUCUGAGGAUGAAAGCGGGGGACCUUCGGGCCUCGCGCGAUCGUAGCGGCCGAUGUCAGAUUAGGUAGUUGGUGGGGUAAAGGCCUACCAAGCCGACGAUCUGUAGCUGGUCUGAGAGGACGACCAGCCACACUGGGACUGAGACACGGCCCAGACUCCUACGGGAGGCAGCAGUGGGGAAUUUUGGACAAUGGGCGCAAGCCUGAUCCAGCCAUUCCGCGUGCAGGACGAAGGCCUUCGGGUUGUAAACUGCUUUUGUACGGAACGAAAAGGCUCUGGCUAAUACCUGGGGCUCAUGACGGUACCGGAAGAAUAAGCACCGGCUAACUACGUG
This 484-nucleotide ribosomal RNA is filed under the name uncultured bacterium. RNAcentral's name for it is "partial 16S ribosomal RNA". It matches the Rfam family "Bacterial small subunit ribosomal RNA", at positions 30 to 507 of the family's 1533-position model. The record is from RNAcentral.